GAUGAACGCUGGCGGCGCGCCUUACGCAUGCAAGUCGUACGACGGGCUUCGGCCCGGAGUGGCAGACGGCUGAGUAACGCGUAGGCAACCUGUCCCCAAGUGAGGGAUAACCCAUCGAAAGACGGGCUAAUACCGCAUACGCUCCUGGGGUGAGAUUCCCCAGGAGGAAAGCCGCAAGGCGCUGAGGGAGGGGCCUGCGUCUUAUCAGGUAGUUGGUGAGGUAACGGCUCACCAAGCCGGCGACGAGUAGCUGGUCUGAGAGGACGGCCAGCCAGACGGGGACUGAGACACGGCCCCGACUCCUACGGGAGGCAGCAGCGAGGAAUCUUGGGCAAUGGGCGAAAGCCUGACACAGCGACGCCGCGUGGGGGAAGAAGGCCUUCGGGUCGUAAACCCCUUUUCUCAGGGAAGAAUAAUGACGGUACCUGAGGAAUAAGCCCCGGCUAACUACGUGCCAGCAGCCGCGGUAAUACGUAGGGGGCGAGCGUUAUCCGGAUUUACUGGGCGUAAAGUGGGCGCAGGCGGCCUUUCAAGUCGGAUGUAAAAUCUCCCGGCUUAACUGGGAGGGAUCAUUCGAUACUGUUGGGCUAGAGGACAGCAGAGGGAGGUGGAAUUCCCGGUGGAGUGGUGAAAUGCGUAGAUAUCGGGAGGAACACCAGUGGCGAAGGCGGCCUCCUGGGCUGUUUCUGACGCUGAGGCCCAAAAGCGUGGGGAGCGAACAGGAUCAGAUACCCUGGUAGUCCACGCCCUAAACGAUGGACACUAGGUAUGGGGAGUAUUGACCCUCUCCGUGCCGAAGCUAACGCUUUAAGUGUCCCGCCUGGGGACUACGACCGCAAGGUUA
This 844-nucleotide ribosomal RNA is filed under the name uncultured Chloroflexota bacterium. RNAcentral describes it as "bacterial SSU rRNA". It matches the Rfam family "Bacterial small subunit ribosomal RNA", at positions 28 to 896 of the family's 1533-position model. Lineage: Bacteria; Bacillati; Chloroflexota. The record is from RNAcentral.